This is a long non-coding RNA of Daktulosphaira vitifoliae (grape phylloxera), 304 nucleotides long. RefSeq lists it as uncharacterized. The transcript is spliced from 2 exons. NCBI's taxonomy places the organism in Eukaryota, Metazoa, Arthropoda, Insecta, Hemiptera, Phylloxeridae. The record is from RefSeq and is a predicted model, not a curated record.
UGUACCCACGUUUGUACUGUGGUGAUGGAUGUAGGCCCGAAAAGCUUGAUCUAUAAUAUAUGUCAACAAACUUAAGUUGCUUGUUUUAUGAUACUAGCUUAAACAAAGAUACGAGCUAUCCAUUAUUAAUUUACUUCCUUAAUUAUAGAUCAGUGUUUUUACUCUAAAAUUGCAGUUUAUAAUAAUCUUUAAGAAUACACUAACGAGUAAAUUUUACUUGUAAUUGAACCAAUAAAAAUUGUUAAUAAUUAUAUAUUGAAUGGUUAUUAAAACUUGAUACACUUGACACGAUGGAGAGGCAAAG